RNAcentral lists this ribosomal RNA (463 nucleotides) under uncultured bacterium. RNAcentral describes it as "partial 16S ribosomal RNA". It matches the Rfam family "Bacterial small subunit ribosomal RNA", at positions 339 to 795 of the family's 1533-position model. The record is from RNAcentral.
CUACGGGGUGCUGCAGUGGGGAAUAUUGCGCAAUGGGCGAAAGCCUGACGCAGCCAUGCCGCGUGUGUGAAGAAGGCCUUAGGGUUGUAAAGCACUUUCAAUUGGGAGGAAAGGUUCAAGCUUAAUACGCUUGAGCUGUGACGUUACCUUUAGAAGAAGCACCGGCUAACUCCGUGCCGGCAGCCGCGGUAAUACGGAGGGUGCAAGCGUAAUCGGAAUUACUGGGCGUAAAGCGCGCGUAGGCGGCUUGUUAAGUCGGAUGUGAAAGCCCCGGGCUCAACCUGGGAACUGCACCCGAUACUGGCAGGCUAGAAUGCGAGAGAGGGGGGUAGAAUUCCAUGUGUAGCGGUGACAUGCGUAGAUAUAUGGAGGAAUACCAGUGGCGAAGGCGGCCCCCUGGCUCGACAUUGACGCUGAGGUGCGAAAGCGUGGGGAGCAAACAGGAUUAGAUACCCCAGUAGUC